Molecule: long non-coding RNA, 2695 nt
Organism: Camellia sinensis
Lineage: Eukaryota; Viridiplantae; Streptophyta; Magnoliopsida; Ericales; Theaceae
Source: RefSeq, a predicted model, not a curated record
GUUUUCCAACCGUCGCGUCGGUUUAGUUUCUCCUCGGUUCGGCCUUGGUGGCUGUUUAUCUCUGACACACAUGCUCUGCAUGCAUCAUUUCACAAUGACACAUAGCAUUGUGGUGUUGGUACGUAUAGAUCGUAUGUCACUUCCUUGCAGAAUGAUAUGAUUUGUAUCAUCACGUCGAUCAAGGGUCAUAAAUAUCCUAAGACCUACACAUUCAUUUCUUCAUUGGUUCUCUAGUUUUUGAAAUCCUAAAAACCUUUUCAUUCUGUUCUUGUGGUUCCAAUGGUGCUCCACUUCGACGCUUGCCACCAUUGCUGUUAGUUCCAGAAGUUGUUGUCUUCUUUCGAUUCUAGUUUGCAAGACCUCUGUUUGUCAUCGUUCUUCAUCAAAUCGUUUUAAAUUCUUCUGAACCUCUUCUUUUCUUUCAUUUUACGGUCUCUAUCGUCAUUAAUGGCCUUAGCACCACUGUUUCCGGCAACUCAUGUUAUUUCUUUACCUUUCUCUUCGUGUGGCUUUGUCUUUGUCGUUCUUGGUCUAGGUUAUAGGUAAGUUUCAUACUUUAGUUGAUACCCUAGAAGCGAUGGCCUUGUUCCGUCGUGACUACGGUAUUCCGGAUGACGUUACUCUUACGUUGGCUAAGAUUGAUGCCAAACGUAUGGGUACAAGAAAUACUGAUGCAUUUUCGGUUGUUGCCAUUGUCGAAUAAGGGGUUCGGUUCCCCUUAGACCCAUUGAUCCGCUGUUUUCUACACCAAUUUCAAUUUUUCCCAAUACAAGUUUCUGUGAAUCUAUUUCACGUCAUCUGUGGCGUUUCUACCCUAAACAGAUGGUUAGCCUUGAACUUGGAUGUCUAGGACAUCUUAGGCUGCUACACCCUUUCGCAUAACAAAGACCAUAGCACAUGCUCCUUGGUUUUCAUUCUAUUGACUCUUACCUUGUCGCUAGUUUGCUCGAUUCGGAUAAGCAUAAUGACGACUUCCUGCAAGUUAGUAUGAACUAGGGGUUCCCUACUGGAAUUAAGUUCCAGUCCAAACAGAUGCCUCAGAAGGACGGCUAUCCAGAAUCUUCUCGCUACCAGAGAAGACCGAAUCGUGAAAAUACUGAAACAAUUAAGGCCACACUACUAUACAAGAAGAGAUCCGCUCUUGAACUGCUAGAUUACCAAGGCACUUACUGAACUACUAUUCCCAAGAAAGUGAAGCUUGCUACAGCUUUGCUUGACUCUGAUACUGAAACUGAUACACCCCAUGCUCUAUUGGUUACCAAUCAUUGUCGUACUCAUAGCCUCUUUACCGAAAUGACUUUUUUUCCUAUCCCUAGUUCCACAAGAGAUGGAUCAAUGUCCAAGAGAAGGUUGCUUAUGGAUUUGAAGGCGGAGGCUUUUGGCUUCUCUUCGGCUCUGGAGACUCCGGAGUGAAGGCCGAGCUGAAAAUUCUAAUGAAAGUUAAAUUAGAGGUGAGAGCUGCUAGCCCCACUACUGCUAUUCCGAGAUCUGAAGCCCUAACUGCUGAAUGGGCUAGGAAGAGAAGGAGAAAAACUGGUAAGAAUAAGGUUAGAGAGGCUUCUAGAGAGCCUAUGGUUGAUGAAUCUUUUGAACAGUGGGAAACGCCCAUGCUACAUCAUGGUAGGCCCAUUUCAACUUUUGAUUCUGUUAUUUCAUCUAGAGAACUCGAAUUUGAUUUUACCAAGACUUUACUGCUGCUAGUGGACAUGGCAGACCACAAUGGACCCCAUGAUAUUCUCAUCAUAAAGGGAACCUUGCAAAUGAUGACUAUUUGCAUCAGAGGAUGCACCUAUCCAUCACCUAUCCUGAAGAAUUAGAGAAGGCCGUACUGGAGGCCGUGAUAAGUUCUGAAAGGUUGACGAUGAAUUUAGAGGCUAAGAAGGAGGACCGAAGAACUGCAGAGAGAGAAAAUUUUCGAUUGAGCAAGGUUAUUACUUCUGUUGAGAAAUCUAAUGAAAUUUCUGUCAAUACCCAGGUCAAACUUGAGGGAAAGGUUGUUGAGCUAGAGACUGUUAUCGCCUUAACAGCUGUUGAAUGUUCAACUCUAGAAGCUAAGUACUGGCAACAAGGUUAGGAUGAGGCUGGUGCAACUUAUAAUGAGGAGGUGCUGGUUUUGCGUGACAAGCUCUUCCUCAAAGGAUGGCCGAGUGCCCUAGCUACUACUCAAGUUCCUAAGGAGUCCCCUUUGUUACAAGACGUUCAUGUUCCUUCAAAGUCCUCAAGUUUGAAAGCUGCUACAACUCUUGCAACUCCGCAAUCAAAGAUCUGCCCAAGUGUUGGUUUUGCCAACACGACCCCAGAGAGUGAUGUUGCUCACAAGCUGGUGGAUGCUGGAAAAGGUAGGACCCCAAAGGUUAAUGCUGCAGAGGAGGAGGCUAAGGAAGUUCCUGUCUCCCAAGACAGUGGUGUUGUUUAUGCUUUUUUCCUCAAUGGUGAUUUGGACAAAGCUGUGGACCCAGCUUCUGAGAUUCCUCCUUCUGAUGAAAGUUGAAGUGAUCCUUGGGACAAUUUCAGGUUUUACAUUUUUUUUUGAUGCACUGGAGCUCAGCCUAGUUAUCCGAUGUGCUACAUGAUUAUGCUUGGAUGUAACAAAGUCACAAAGAAGUGUUUUACUCAAUUGUUUGCCUCCACUUGGAGCUGAGUAAGGCUUGUGCUGGAAGUUUGCUCUUGAAAGAAUUAUUCGAUUCUGUUCCAA